AGCGAACGCUGGCGGCAGGCCUAACACAUGCAAGUCGAACGAACCUUUCGGGGUUAGUGGCGGACGGGUGAGUAACACGUGGGAACGUGCCUUUAGGUUCGGAAUAACUCAGGGAAACUUGUGCUAAUACCGAAUGUGCCCUUCGGGGGAAAGAUUUAUCGCCUUUAGAGCGGCCCGCGUCUGAUUAGCUAGUUGGUUGAGGUAAUGGCUCACCAAGGCGACGAUCAGUAGCUGUUCUGAGAGGAUGAUCAGCCACAUUGGGACUGAGACACGGCCCAAACUCCUACGGGAGGCAGCAGUGGGGAAUCUUGCGCAAGGGGCGAAAGCCUGACGCAGCCAUGCCGCGUGAAUGAUGAAGGUCUUAGGAUUGUAAAAUUCUUUCACCGGGGACGAUAAUGACGGUACCCGGAGAAGAAGCCCCGGCUAACUUCGUG
RNAcentral lists this ribosomal RNA (434 nucleotides) under uncultured bacterium. Its description in RNAcentral is "partial 16S ribosomal RNA". It matches the Rfam family "Bacterial small subunit ribosomal RNA", at positions 29 to 507 of the family's 1533-position model. The record is from RNAcentral.